Molecule: ribosomal RNA, 506 nt
Filed under: uncultured bacterium
Lineage: Bacteria
Description: partial 16S ribosomal RNA
Rfam family: Bacterial small subunit ribosomal RNA
Source: RNAcentral
AGUGAACGCUGGCGGUAGGCCUAACACAUGCAAGUCGAACGGCAGCACAGGAGAGCUUGCUCUCUGGGUGGCGAGUGGCGGACGGGUGAGGAAUACAUCGGAAUCUACUUUUUCGUGGGGGAUAACGUAGGGAAACUUACGCUAAUACCGCAUACGACCUACGGGUGAAAGCAGGGGACCUUCGGGCCUUGCGCGAUUGAAUGAGCCGAUGUCGGAUUAGCUAGUUGGCGGGGUAAAGGCCCACCAAGGCGACGAUCCGUAGCUGGUCUGAGAGGAUGAUCAGCCACACUGGAACUGAGACACGGUCCAGACUCCUACGGGAGGCAGCAGUGGGGAAUAUUGGACCAUGGGCGCAAGCCUGAUCCAGCCAUACCGCGUGGGUGAAGAAGGCCUUCGGGUUGUAAAGCCCUUUUGUUGGGAAAGGAAUCCAGCUGGCUAAUACCCGGUUGGGAUGACGGUACCCAAAGAAUAAGCACCGGCUAACUUCGUGCCAGCCGCCGCCGCGG